This 820-nucleotide ribosomal RNA is filed under the name Lactiplantibacillus plantarum. Its description in RNAcentral is "bacterial SSU rRNA". It matches the Rfam family "Bacterial small subunit ribosomal RNA", at positions 69 to 861 of the family's 1533-position model. Lineage: Bacteria; Bacillati; Bacillota; Bacilli; Lactobacillales; Lactobacillaceae. The record is from RNAcentral.
AUUGAUUGGUGCUUGCAUCAUGAUUUACAUUUGAGUGAGUGGCGAACUGGUGAGUAACACGUGGGAAACCUGCCCAGAAGCGGGGGAUAACACCUGGAAACAGAUGCUAAUACCGCAUAACAACUUGGACCGCAUGGUCCGAGUUUGAAAGAUGGCUUCGGCUAUCACUUUUGGAUGGUCCCGCGGCGUAUUAGCUAGAUGGUGGGGUAACGGCUCACCAUGGCAAUGAUACGUAGCCGACCUGAGAGGGUAAUCGGCCACAUUGGGACUGAGACACGGCCCAAACUCCUACGGGAGGCAGCAGUAGGGAAUCUUCCACAAUGGACGAAAGUCUGAUGGAGCAACGCCGCGUGAGUGAAGAAGGGUUUCGGCUCGUAAAACUCUGUUGUUAAAGAAGAACAUAUCUGAGAGUAACUGUUCAGGUAUUGACGGUAUUUAACCAGAAAGCCACGGCUAACUACGUGCCAGCAGCCGCGGUAAUACGUAGGUGGCAAGCGUUGUCCGGAUUUAUUGGGCGUAAAGCGAGCGCAGGCGGUUUUUUAAGUCUGAUGUGAAAGCCUUCGGCUCAACCGAAGAAGUGCAUCGGAAACUGGGAAACUUGAGUGCAGAAGAGGACAGUGGAACUCCAUGUGUAGCGGUGAAAUGCGUAGAUAUAUGGAAGAACACCAGUGGCGAAAGGCGGCUGUCUGGUCUGUAACUGACGCUGAGGCUCGAAAGUAUGGGUAGCAAACAGGAUUAGAUACCCUGGUAGUCCAUACCGUAACGAUGAAUGCUAAGUGUUGGGAGGGUUUCCGCCCUUCAGUGCUGCAGCUAACGCAUU